AGCAGCCGCGGUAAUUCCAGCUCCAAUAGCGUAUAUUAAAGUUGUUGCAGUUAAAAAGCUCGUAGUUGAAUUUCGGGAUCAGUACGCUGGUCGUGCCUUUGGUAUGUACUGGUGUCACUGAUUCCUCCCUUCUGAAGAACCGUUAUGCCAUUUAUUUGGUGUGGCGGGGAAUCAGGACUGUUACUUUGAAAAAUUAGAGUGUUUAAAGCAGGUUCGCGCUUGAAUACAUUAGCAUGGAAUAAUGAAAUAGGACGUUUGAUCUUAUUUUGUUGGUUUUCUAGGAUCGACGUAAUGAUUAAUAGGGAUAGUUGGGGCAUUAGUAUUCAAUUGUCAGAGGUGAAAUUCUUGGAUUUAUUGAAGACUAACUACUGCGAAAGCAUUUGCCAAGGAUGUUUUC
This 397-nucleotide ribosomal RNA is filed under the name uncultured Glomeromycotina. RNAcentral describes it as "SSU rRNA". It matches the Rfam family "Eukaryotic small subunit ribosomal RNA", at positions 569 to 971 of the family's 1831-position model. Lineage: Eukaryota; Fungi; Glomeromycota. The record is from RNAcentral.